GACGACCGCUGGCGGCAGUCCUAACACAUGCAAGUCGAACGCCCCGCAAGGGGAGUGGCAGACGGGUGAGUAACGCGUGGGAACCUUCCCAAUGGUGCGGAAUAGCCCAGGGAAACUUGGAGUAAUACCGCAUAAGCCCUUAGGGGGAAAGAUUUAUCGCCAUUGGAUGGGCCCGCGUCGGAUUAGCUAGUUGGUAGGGUAACGGCCUACCAAGGCGACGAUCCGUAGCUGGUUUGAGAGAAUGACCAGCCACACUGGGACUGAGACACGGCCCAGACUCCUACGGGAGGCAGCAGUGGGGAAUCUUGGACAAUGGGCGAAAGCCUGAUCCAGCCAUGCCGCGUGAGUGACGAAGGCCUUAGGGUUGUAAAGCUCUUUUGCCGGGGACGAUAAUGACGGUACCCGGAGAAUAAGUCCCGGCUAACUUCGUGCCAGCAGCCGCGGUAAUACGAACGGUGCAAGCGUUAAUCGGAAUUCCUGGGCCUCAAGC
This 490-nucleotide ribosomal RNA is filed under the name uncultured bacterium. Its description in RNAcentral is "bacterial SSU rRNA". It matches the Rfam family "Bacterial small subunit ribosomal RNA", at positions 28 to 566 of the family's 1533-position model. The record is from RNAcentral.